This 394-nucleotide ribosomal RNA is filed under the name uncultured eukaryote. Its description in RNAcentral is "SSU rRNA". It matches the Rfam family "Eukaryotic small subunit ribosomal RNA", at positions 587 to 972 of the family's 1831-position model. The record is from RNAcentral.
AGCUCCAAUAGCGUAUAUUAAAGUUGUUGCAGUUAAAAAGCUCGUAGUUGGAUCUCAGGUGCAGGCGGGCGGUCCGGCUCGCGCCGGUUCACUGCCCGUAUUUCCUGCCCUACCGUCUGCCGGCUCUCUCCCGCGGGUGCUCUUCGCUGAGCGUCCCGGGUGGCCGGCGCGUUUACUUUGAAAAAAUUAGAGUGUUCAAAGCAGGCCUCGGCUGCCUGAAUAAUGGUGCAUGGAAUAAUGGAAUAGGACCUCGGUUCUAUUUUGUUGGUUUUCGGAACUGGAGGUAAUGAUUAACAGGGACAAACGGGGGCAUUCGUAUUGCGGCGUUAGAGGUGAAAUUCUUGGAUCGCCGCAAGACGAGCUACUGCGAAAGCAUUUGUCAAGAAUGUUUUCA